UGAAUAUGGCAGCCUUGUGCUCAAAAUCAGCAGGGAUCCCAAAGCUUCGACUAUGGCGGAGGUGCUCAAGGCUUGUGAAGGAGAAGAAAACACGGUUUUACAUUAUAUGGAGAUGUACGGUGCUGCUUCUACGUUGGGAGGAGUGAAGUUUUGAAGGUUUAACUUUAGCUGGAAUAUUUAGAAUCUUUGUAUAUUUGCAGCGCAAAUGAUGGCUUGCUUAGGUAGAACGUAUACAGAUUUGUACAAGAUGUAGUAAUUGUAAAAUGUGAGGUGUUUGCUUU
Hibiscus syriacus is the source of this 281-nucleotide long non-coding RNA. RefSeq lists it as uncharacterized. The record is from RefSeq and is a predicted model, not a curated record. NCBI's taxonomy places the organism in Eukaryota, Viridiplantae, Streptophyta, Magnoliopsida, Malvales, Malvaceae. The transcript has 2 exons.